UACGGGAGGCAGCAGUGGGGAAUUUUGGACAAUGGGGGAAACCCUGAUCCAACAAUGCCGCGUGAGUGAAGAAGGCCUUCGGGUUGUAAAGCUCUUUUGUCAGGGAAGAAACACCGGCUCUAACACAGUCCGGGAAUGACGGUACCUGAAGAAUAAGCACCGGCUAACUACGUGCCAGCAGCCGCGGUAAUACGUAGGGUGCGAGCGUUAAUCGGAAUUACUGGGCGUAAAGCGUGCGCAGGCGGUUAUACAAGACAGGCGUGAAAUCCCCGGGCUUAACCUGGGAAUGGCGCCUGUGACUGUAUAGCUAGAGUGUGUCAGAGGGGGGUAGAAUUCCACGUGUAGCAGUGAAAUGCGUAGAUAUGUGGAGGAAUACCAAUGGCGAAGGCAGCCCCCUGGGAUAACACUGACGCUCAUGCACGAAAGCGUGGGGAGCAAACAGGAUUAGAUACCCUGGUAGUCCACGCCCUAAACGAUGCUGACUAGUUGUUCGGGAUUUACAUCCUGAGUAACGUAGCUAACGCGUGAAGUCAGCCGCCUGGGGAGUACGGUCGCAAGAUUAAAACUCAAAGGAAUUGACGGGGA
RNAcentral lists this ribosomal RNA (585 nucleotides) under uncultured Polynucleobacter sp. RNAcentral describes it as "bacterial SSU rRNA". It matches the Rfam family "Bacterial small subunit ribosomal RNA", at positions 340 to 919 of the family's 1533-position model. The record is from RNAcentral. Lineage: Bacteria; Pseudomonadati; Pseudomonadota; Betaproteobacteria; Burkholderiales; Burkholderiaceae.